This 82-nucleotide transfer RNA is filed under the name Saprospiraceae bacterium. RNAcentral's name for it is "tRNA-Leu". It matches the Rfam family "tRNA". From Rfam's summary of the family: Transfer RNA (tRNA) molecules are approximately 80 nucleotides in length. Their secondary structure includes four short double-helical elements and three loops (D, anti-codon, and T loops). The record is from RNAcentral. Lineage: Bacteria; Pseudomonadati; Bacteroidota; Saprospiria; Saprospirales; Saprospiraceae.
GCCGAAGUGGCGAAAUUGGUAAACGUGCACGUCUCAGAAGCGUGUGCCGAAAGGCUUGAGGGUUCGAGUCCCUCCUUUGGCA